RNAcentral lists this ribosomal RNA (1372 nucleotides) under uncultured bacterium. RNAcentral's name for it is "bacterial SSU rRNA". It matches the Rfam family "Bacterial small subunit ribosomal RNA", at positions 28 to 1381 of the family's 1533-position model. The record is from RNAcentral.
GAUGAACGCUGGCGGCGUGCCUAAUACAUGCAAGUCGAGCGAACGGACGAGAAGCUUGCUUCUCUGAUGUUAGCGGCGGACGGGUGAGUAACACGUGGGUAACCUACCUAUAAGACUGGGAUAACUUCGGGAAACCGGAGCUAAUACCGGAUAAUAUUUUGAACCGCAUGGUUCAAAAGUGAAAGACGGUCUUGCUGUCACUUAUAGAUGGAUCCGCGCUGCAUUAGCUAGUUGGUAAGGUGACGGCUUACCAAGGCAACGAUGCAUAGCCGACCUGAGAGGGUGAUCGGCCACACUGGAACUGAGACACGAUCCAGACUCCUACGGGAGGCAGCAGUAGGGAAUCUUCCGCAAUGGGCGAAAGCCUGACGGAGCAACGCCGCGUGAGUGAUGAAGGUCUUCGGAUCGUAAAACUCUGUUAUUAGGGAAGAACAUAUGUGUAAGUAACUGUGCACAUCUUGACGGUACCUAAUCAGAAAGCCACGGCUAACUACGUGCCAGCAGCCGCGGUAAUACGUAGGUGGCAAGCGUUAUCCGGAAUUAUUGGGCGUAAAGCGCGCGUAGGCGGUUUUUUAAGUCUGAUGUGAAAGCCCACGGCUCAACCGUGGAGGGUCAUUGGAAACUGGAAAACUUGAGUGCAGAAGAGGAAAGUGGAAUUCCAUGUGUAGCGGUGAAAUGCGCAGAGAUAUGGAGGAACACCAGUGGCGAAGGCGACUUUCUGGUCUGUAACUGACGCUGAUGUGCGAAAGCGUGGGGAUCAAACAGGAUUAGAUACCCUGGUAGUCCACGCCGUAAACGAUGAGUGCUAAGUGUUAGGGGGUUUCCGCCCCUCAGUGCUGCAGCUAACGCAUUAAGCACUCCGCCUGGGGAGUACGACCGCAAGGUUGAAACUCAAAGGAAUUGACGGGGACCCGCACAAGCGGUGGAGCAUGUGGUUUAAUUCGAAGCAACGCGAAGAACCUUACCAAAUCUUGACAUCCUUUGACAACUCUAGAGAUAGAGCCUUCCCCUUCGGGGGACAAAGUGACAGGUGGUGCGUGGUUGUCGUCAGCUCGUGUCGUGAGAUGUUGGGUUAAGUCCCGCAACGAGCGCAACCCUUAAGCUUAGUUGCCAUCAUUAAGUUGGGCACUCUAAGUUGACUGCCGGUGACAAACCGGAGGAAGGUGGGGAUGACGUCAAAUCAUCAUGCCCCUUAUGAUUUGGGCUACACACGUGCUACAAUGGACAAUACAAAGGGCAGCGAAACCGCGAGGUCAAGCAAAUCCCAUAAAGUUGUUCUCAGUUCGGAUUGUAGUCUGCAACUCGACUACAUGAAGCUGGAAUCGCUAGUAAUCGUAGAUCAGCAUGCUACGGUGAAUACGUUCCCGGGUCU